GGACGCCUUUGGCCGAGCGGGAGAAAUUAUCUUGCACGAACGUGGCGGAUAUGCCCGUGGCCUCGGAGAACGCGCGUGCAUUGAAGCUUUCGAAGAAGAGGCCGCGGUUGUCGCGGNNNCGGCUCGAAUGCAAUUACGUCCGGAAUGGCAAGUGUGGAGGCGAUCAUCAAAAGGUUCCAUGGUUCAGCAAGCUGUACAAGUAUCGCCCGUAACCAUUGUUCUUCAUCGCGGCAGCAAGUUCUUCAAGCUCGGCGUCGCUGAUCCACCCGUUGCGCCACGCGAUCUCCUCUGGACAGG
RNAcentral lists this unclassified non-coding RNA (297 nucleotides) under Hevea brasiliensis (rubber tree). Lineage: Eukaryota; Viridiplantae; Streptophyta; Magnoliopsida; Malpighiales; Euphorbiaceae. The record is from RNAcentral.